ACUUAUAGCAAAAUACACACUGGACCCACUCUUCCCCAGGCAUCGAGGCGCUGAAGAGCUCGCAGCACACGAGGCAGCUGACGUCCUCGCUGGAUAGGCCUAAAUAAAUUGGAGAUGUAGAGGCAGCAAUGGUGGUGAACUCUGCUGCCUCCGGAACAGGACACACUAGGCCUAAGGUGGGGCUGACUCCAUCAGCGGGCCAGGUGAUGGUGGGAGGAGCAGCUGAGGUGGCACCAGGGGUGACUCCAGCAAGGGGGGCGGCUUCAGGAGCGGGCGAGAAGAGCCUCUUCUUGGGAGCCCGAGAGGAGGGAGGCUGCUUGGCGGGACGACGCUGCUUCACAGUUCCCUGUUUUUCCGCCUCUAAAGCAGCCCUCACCGGGGUGUCCGUAAGUAUAGCAGUUGUCCUGAAACAUUAAAUUGGACGUUUUAAUGAUAAUUGAAUUACUUUAAAUGUGGUAGGUCUACAUGACUGUAGACAAAGGAAGUCCAGACAAGAUAUGAGAUGCAAGAGUAACUCCACUUGCCUCUUUCUCCCUCUUCUCUUUGUGAUCUUUCUAGGUCCGGCCUUAGGGUAAGGCCGGAUGAUGUCCGGGCUGAAUUCAACGGCCUCUCCCUCAGGCCGGACAGCUUCGUCAGGCCCGGCAGCUCGAUCAGUGGCACCUGGAGAAGCGCUGACCUCGUCACCCGAAGCCUGGGGAGGAGGACGGUCUGUCGAAUAGGCUCCGGCGAAGUCCUUUUCCUCAAAUGCAGAGGGGUUAAAAGGCCAGAUCCCUGGACUUGAGAACCCGGAGGUGGGACGUGUGAUUGUCCAGCAGGAGGAGCAGCUUCGACUCCUUGGACACACGGGUGUAACUGGUGAAGUGGGCCAGGUACAGGAGGAAGUCUGGCUCCUUCAUCCAGCCAGUUGGGUUGCCGCUGCCAGCACAGCCAACGGGUCCACCCCUCAGGAAGUGGUCUUUGAACCGCUUACGGGGGAAGAUGAAAAAUGGCGGAACAAGGUCGCCCUGAGCAUUGCCUGCCAGGGCAACUGUGACCAGGGUCCCCCUCUCCGCUGAGGUCACUGACCCGACCUGCUUCUGCCCCAUCUGGGCGACGACACGGUCUGGCACCUGAACAGUGGUGACCCCUG
Long non-coding RNA from Gadus macrocephalus (Pacific cod), 1129 nucleotides. RefSeq lists it as uncharacterized. Lineage: Eukaryota; Metazoa; Chordata; Actinopteri; Gadiformes; Gadidae. The record is from RefSeq and is a predicted model, not a curated record. The transcript has 3 exons.